GGGGAUGACUGGCUUCGACAGGGAAGGCAUGUCGUAGAUCGCAAGCCGAGACGCCCAGUCUCGUAAAAGGGCAAAAGCCAUAACAGGCAACAACACCUUCCGGGCUCAGCCUCAGCUGGCCCUCGCUGCUUAGUUAAAGUAGCGCGCCUCUCUCCGUUCGCUCGGUGAUUGGGAAGUAGGCGACAGCAAGCCGGGUGCUCCUGAUGUGAUUGUUUGCUAGCAUCGGGCUAAGAUACGCAGACUGAUCCGGCGGCGCUUUGUUGGGGUGCAACCGUCGGACGACAACCAACAACAAACUAAGCUUGUAGCACAUCUGCGGCAGAAUUUUCUGGACGGGGGUUCGACUCCCCCCAUCUCCACCA
This 362-nucleotide transfer-messenger RNA is filed under the name Chloroflexaceae bacterium. It matches the Rfam family "transfer-messenger RNA". Rfam says of the family: Bacterial tmRNA, also known as 10Sa RNA or SsrA, is named for its dual tRNA and mRNA-like properties. Its role is to liberate the mRNA from a stalled ribosome. Lineage: Bacteria; Bacillati; Chloroflexota; Chloroflexia; Chloroflexales; Chloroflexaceae. The record is from RNAcentral.